AUGGGUGGCGAUUUAGGCAAAAAAAACAAAAUGGCCAAUGCCAUAAGCAAAAGCUCUGACAACUUUUUUUAUGUGUUUGUGUGGCUACAUAAAUCAAGUAAUCAUUCACCCUUUUAUGAUUUUUUUUCUUGGAAUCAAACUUGCUGCUACAGAUCAGGCUAUUCUCCUAGACAUGUAUUGCCCUUUUUAGGAGUUUUCCCUUAUUUGUGGGAUUCACAGGCUAUUGUAUUCGUUACGAGAAUGUUGUGUGGCAACCUGAAGGCUGCAGGAUACAAAUGUUUCCAACUAUUAAUUUUUUAG
RNAcentral lists this ribosomal RNA (300 nucleotides) under Triticum aestivum (bread wheat). Its description in RNAcentral is "partial small subunit ribosomal RNA". The record is from RNAcentral. Lineage: Eukaryota; Viridiplantae; Streptophyta; Magnoliopsida; Poales; Poaceae.